This 403-nucleotide ribosomal RNA is filed under the name Verrucomicrobiota bacterium. RNAcentral's name for it is "Verrucomicrobia bacterium partial 16S ribosomal RNA". It matches the Rfam family "Bacterial small subunit ribosomal RNA", at positions 355 to 776 of the family's 1533-position model. The record is from RNAcentral. Lineage: Bacteria; Pseudomonadati; Verrucomicrobiota.
UGGGGAAUAUUGCACAAUGGAGGGAACUCUGAUGCAGCGACGCCGCGUGAACGAAGAAGGCUUUCGAGUCGUAAAGUUCUUUUAUAUGGGAAGAUAAUGACGGUACCAUAAGAAAAAGCCCCGGCUAACUACGUGCCAGCAGCCGCGGUAAUACGUAGGGGGCUAGCGUUGUCCGGAAUCACUGGGCGUAAAGGGUUCGCAGGCGGAAAUGCAAGUCAGGUGUAAAAGGCAGUAGCUUAACUACUGUAAGCAUUUGAAACUGCAUAUCUUGAGAAGGGUAGAGGUAAGUGGAAUUUUUAGUGUAGCGGUGAGAUGCGUAGAUAUUAAAAAGAAUACCGGUGGCGAAGGCGACUUACUGGACUUGAACUGACGCUGAGGCACGAAAGCGUGGGGGGCAAACAGG